This 3834-nucleotide small RNA is filed under the name Arabidopsis thaliana (thale cress). Its description in RNAcentral is "ATSL097670". Lineage: Eukaryota; Viridiplantae; Streptophyta; Magnoliopsida; Brassicales; Brassicaceae. The record is from RNAcentral.
AUUCUCCCCACUAACAUAGAUUCGUCCUCGAAUCUAGUUUCACCCUUCCACUCCGAGAAACUCCGUACAACUAUCACUACAGUCCGCACUCCCUCCAACCAGAGCCCCUCUAGGUCUCUCUAUCCAGUCGAUAUACUCACGAUUUACUAGUCAUUGUUGCUCACAACUCACUCUCCACUCUCAGACUGCAAUCUUCGAGCAUAAACCGUCACUCUCAGGCCUCGGCCUACGGUAUCUCGGGUAUCACACAUUAUCUUCCCCACUCAAAGUCAAACCCUGAGUUGUGUCGGCUCACUGUCAGCCACAAAGUCAUCGAGUUACGACACUUGGAGAAAAUAAUACCACAAAACUCACUCUCGGGUCGUCACCCUAAAGCGUGCUCUCGGAUCGUCACCCGAAGCCACCAUACCCCUCGUACUCUAAAGACACCAUGUCCCUCGAGUUACUGGUACCUCAGGAGCAUACCCCACUCCUCACGAGUCGUUGGGACCCUCAUGUCCCUCGAGCAACAAUACUAAAUGCUUCCGAGCAUAUCUCCAAACUCUCUCAUGGAUUCGCGUAAGACACCUCUAUGCCUCACCAUCCAUCAUAUCCCCUCGAGAACAUCCUUAUGACCAACUCCCGGCCAUCUCGUAAACACACCUUUCUCUUAGGUUGUUUACUCAAACUUUCCAAAAAUAGACAAGUCCUUUCUAGGAAACUUUCCAUUUUUGGAAACCGCACAACACAUUUUUAAAUAAGACAACUCAAGUCAAAUCCAAGAAAAAAAAUACUCAUCUUAUUAAUCAUCAACUGUCAUGAUCGUUACAACUCCAAACGAAAAUACAAAUAAAAGAGAAAUAAGAACAACAACUCAAAAGCUCAAAAACUCAACAACACUGAACAUAAUCUGCACCAUAUAUGCUCCUCUCCCCCACUUGGGUCCAGCAUAACGGUGUCCUGCAUGGCCUCCCGUACAACGCUUCAAAAGGAGCCAUCCCAAUACUCGCCUGAUAGCUAUUGUUAUAAGCAAACUCUACCAGACUCAAGUGAUCCGCCCAAUGACCUCCCCAGUCCAAGACACACAUCCACAACAUAUCCUCAAGCGUCUGAAUAGUCCUCUCAUAUUGUCCAUCUGUCUGUGGAUGAUAAGUCGUGCUCAUCUGCACCUUAAUACCCAUCUCUGCCUGAAAGGCUCUCCAAAAUGCAGAAGUAAACUUGGAAUCCCUGUCUGACACAAUACUCACAGGUACUCCAUGCAACUUCACGAUCUCGCUCACAUAUUUCUUAGCCAACACCGCCGCUCUAUCGGUUUUUCUGAUGGCCAGAAAAUGUGCUGACUUAGUCAGACGGUCCACGAUCACCCAAAUAGCAUCUUUGGUUCGCGACACAGGCAACCCAACCACAAAAUCCAUUGUGAUAAAAUCCCACUUCCACUCAGGAAUGGGUAAACUCUGCAACAUGUCACCUGGCACCUGAUGCUCAGCCUUAACUAACUGGCAAACAUCGCAUUCUGCAACCCAAUUAGCUACAUCCCUCUUCAUCCCGACCCACUGAUAGUACCGCUUGAGGUCUCGGUACAUAUUAGUCGCUCCUGGAUGAAUGGAAAACAUGCUCGCAUGUGCCUCACUCAAGAUCUCCCGUCACAACUCCUCAUCCUUAGGCACACAAACUCGCCCAUGCACAAGGGUAGUCCCAUUAGGUGCAAACUGAUACUCAGAGCCCUCUGCCUUAGAGCCGCAAUCAACCCCUCAUCCUUCUCCUGAGCCAACAGAACUCUAAUCAGAAGAUUUGCUCGAUCCACAGCUUCCAAUCCCAAUGGCUCUCGUGCCACAGCACACAACCUCAAAGCACCAAUCUCACUCACCAAGGCCUCAACACUCUGCCCUGGAGUCGUGCCCACGCGCUUACGGCUCAACGCGUCUACAACCACAUUAGCCUUACCAAGAUGGUAAGCUAUCUCCAGAUCAUAAUCAGCCACCAACUCCAUCCAUCGCCUCUGCCUCAGGUUCAGCUCUGGCUGAGUGAAGAUAUACUUCAAACUCUUAUGAUCCGUGAACACCUGCACUUUCCCGCCAUAAAGAUAAGACCUCCAAAUUUUUCAAGGCAAAGAUUACUGCAGCCAUCUCUAAAUCGUGAGUAGGAUAGUUGCCCUCAUGCUUCCUCAACUGCCGUGAUGCAUAGGCAAUGACCUUCCCACGCUACAUUAGAACACAACCCAAACCAACUCCCGAGGCAUCAGUAUACACCAUGUAAGGCUCUCCAUGCUCUGGCAAUGCUAACACUGGUGUACUCGUCAACAUCUCCUUCAGGCUCACGAAACCCUCCUCGCACUCCGGUGACCACAGAAAAGGAACAUCCUUCCCUGUCAGCUUAGUCAUCGGUUGUGCCAUACUCGCAAACCCCUUGACGAAUCUCCUGUAAUACCCUGCCAACCCAAGAAAACUCCUGAUCUCAGUGGCAUUCGUCGGUCUAGGCCAAUCUCUGAUAGCCUCAAUCUUCUCUGGAUCCACUGAAACUCCCUCUGCAGAAACAAUGUGACCCAGAAAACCCAUCUUUCUCUGCCAAAAACUGCACUUACUCAACUUAGCGAACAACUUCUGCUCCCGCAGCUUCUCCAUUACUCUCCUUAGAUGUUCCUCAUGCUCCUCAGGACUCUUAGAAUACACCAGAAUGUCAUCAAUAAAGAUGAUCACAAACUCAUCCAAAAACUCCUGGAACACGCUGUUCAUCAACCUCAUGAACGCUGCAGGUGCAUUAGUCAACCCGAAAGGCAUCACCACGAACUCAAAAUGUCCAUAUCUCGUCCUGAAAGUAGUCUUGCGAAUAUCUGCCUCCGCUAUCGGGAUCUGGUGAUAACCCGACGUCAAAUCGAUUUGGGAGAAACAAGUAGCACCCCUCAACUGAUCCAACAACUCAUCGAUCCUUGGCAAAGGGUACUUGUUCUUCACAGUGACCCGGUUCAAACCCCGGUAGUCAAUACAUAAGCGGAAACUCCCGUCCUUCUUCUUCACAAAUAACACCGGCGCUCCCCAAGGUGAAGUACUAGGACGAAUGAAUCCCUUACCCAACAAAUCCUCUAUCUGCUUCUUUAGCUUUGCCAUCUCUGCUGGAGCCAUCCUGUAGGGUGCCUUAGACAACGGCGCUGUCCCUGGUUCCAACUCAAUCGAGAAAGGAUUAGACCGUGAUGGUGGUAAUCCCUGCAACGAUUGAAACACAUCCUCGAACUCCUGAAUAACCCGAAUGUCGCUCACUGCUACCUGCCCCACAGACUCCGGCAUAGAUAUCGUCACCAGGUAAGCCUCGCAUCCCUUCUCGAUCAUUUUCUCUGCCUGCAUUGCUGAGAUGACGAGACUCCCUGAGGUUGGGCUCACUCCCUGAUAAACCAACCUUCCCUCUGGCCGCUCAAAAGAAACUCUCCCACGGUGGCAGUCAAGAUGUACUCUGUAAUGAUCCAACCAAUCCAUUCCAAGAACAACAUCAUACAACUCUACAGGGCUGAUAAUCAAAUCUGCUGGCAUUGACGCCCCUACAAUCUGAAUAUCCACACCCUUCGCUCUCCCCAGAACCGCUAGAAACUGCCAUCCAGCAACCUUGACGGCUCCCACAAGAAAAACAUCCUGCACGACCACCCUGUCCAGCUCUGGAAGGAUGAUCCCACUUCCUCUUCUGCCCCUGCGCAGGCUUGCUGCCCUUGCUAGGUGCCACCUGCUGCUGAGUCUUCUUCGGUUGUACCGCUGGGCUCACUCCCACCUCCUGCCUCUGAAGGUCCUCCUCUACCUCAGCAGCCGUCUCCACCAGUGCCGCCUUCGUGGCGUACUACGACACUCUACACCGCACCCUCAAAUCCGGUCG